Molecule: ribosomal RNA, 442 nt
Filed under: uncultured bacterium
Lineage: Bacteria
Description: partial 16S ribosomal RNA
Rfam family: Bacterial small subunit ribosomal RNA
Source: RNAcentral
CCUACGGGUGGCAGCAGUAGGGAAUCUUUCACAAUGGGCGAAAGCCUGAUGGAGCAACGCCGCGUGCAGGAUGAAGGCCUUCGGGUUGUAAACUGCUUUUAUAAGCGAGAAAUAUGAUGGUAACUUAUGAAUAAGGAUCGGCUAACUACGUGCCAGCAGCCGCGGUCAUACGUAGGAUCCGAGCAUUAUCCGGAGUGACUGGGUGUAAAGAGUUGCGUAGGUGGGAUAAUAAGUAGCUAGUGAAAUCUGGUGGCUCAACCAUUCAGACUAUUAGCUAAACUGUUAAGCUCGAGACCGUUAGGGGUAACUGGAAUUUCUAGUGUAGGGGUGAAAUGCGUAGAUAUUAGAAGGAGCACCGAUAGCGUAGGCAGGUUACUGGGACGGUUCUGACGCUGAGGCACGAAAGCGUGGGGAGCAAACAGGAUUAGAUACCCGGGUAGUC